Paramisgurnus dabryanus is the source of this 1512-nucleotide non-coding RNA. Lineage: Eukaryota; Metazoa; Chordata; Actinopteri; Cypriniformes; Cobitidae. The record is from RefSeq and is a predicted model, not a curated record.
CCAGCAGUUCCAACAAUAAUAAACAAAGCGUAAGGUGUUAUCAGAUUUAAAGACUUUACCGUAUGUUUGGAUUAUAAACUUUAUACACACACGUGAGGAAUAUCUUCAUUUAUGUCUGGACAUUGAGGAAGAGAAGCGUUUAUCUUUAACGUUACCUAAGAAGAAGAACAAUGGAAGACGCAAUGGAGGAGGAUAUAUUCCUGAAGAAACUACAUCCAAACGCACCUGCACCAUCUCAAACAAGUGUUUUGUAGUCUGCAUGAGGCCGGUCUCACUCUGAACCUCAAGAAGUGUAAGUUUGUCUGUUCUUCACUUGACUACUAAGGCCAUACCAUCACAGCAGACGGUGUCAAGGUGAAUUAAAGUACAGACCGAUGAAGGAGCUGUUUUGACCCUAGAAGUGGAUGGACAAGAGCGAGUUAUUGCUUAUGCAUCCCGUUUGCUCAGAGGUGCUGAGAAAUCCUAUUCGACAUCAGAAAAAGAAUGUCUAGCAGUAGUAUGGGCUGUAGAGAAGUGGCACCAUUAACUGGAAGGCAGAGCUUUUGAGGUGAUCACUGAUCAUGCAUCCUUAGUCUGGCUUUUUCAACAUCCAAAACCCUCAUCCACACUGGAAAGAUGGACGAUCAGACUACAAGGAUAUCACUUUACUGUAAGGUAUCGAAAAGGACAAUGUAUUGUUGUGCUGGAUAUGUUAUCCACGAAAGAUGAGUCCGAAUCACCGGCUGGGUUGUUGCUAACUUUAGCUAAGUGUGGUUUUAAUUCUGUUACUUGUGAUCUGCCAUUGGACUUGUCAGAAAUCACUGAUGAACAGAAAAAUGACACAGAGGGCCAAGAGAUCAUGUUUAAAGCCCAGCACUACAUUUUUAAAAAUAAGGUUUUAUGUAGGAGUCUCCCAGACUCUAAAGAAGGCAAAAGGAUUCAAAUUGUAGUCCCUGCAAAACUUAUGCACAUGACAGCCCCCUGAGCGGUCACUUGGGUAGAUUCAAAACUCUGAUGCGGCUUUUAGAAUUUGCUUAUUGGCCAUCGACUGCAAAAACUGUUGAGAAAUGUCAACAGCAUAAGCCCACUAACUUAAAGCAACACCAAAGAGUUUUGCUCCCCAUACAGGUUGGAAGCGGAAUUGUGUGGGAUUUUUAUGUUGUUUUAUUAAUCAGUAUGUCAUGUUAUAAUUGAUAUGUGCCAUUAUGCUUUCUGUGCUGAGAUAUGUGAGAGACUGUCUGUGUGUAAAGUUGAGAGGCUGUGGUUUCGGUUGGGGGAGAAACAGCAUAUGCUGAGGAAUGUACGUCUGGAAAUUGUUAAGAUAAGAGAGAGGCCUGAGGGAGAAAAGUAAACAGGGAACCAUGUUAUGAACCAAUGCUUUAAUAUUCACAGGAUAAAAUAUGCAAUGUAUUUCUUACUUAAUCAGUAUUAAUCAUUGAAUAAUUGAUGUAAUAAAUAUAAGAUGUUGUCUUUGAUAAAUUUGUAUUAACCAAUGUAAUGAAGGUUGCAUACAGAAUAACCUAAUGGGGGCAG